GCGCAAUGCGAUAAGUAGUGUGAAUUGCAGAAUUCAGUGAAUCAUCGAAUCUUUGAACGCACAUUGCGCCCUUUGGUAUUCCUUAGGGCAUGCCUGUUCGAGCGUCAUCUAAACCCUCAAGCCCUGCUUGGUGUUGGGUGCCUGUCCCGCCCCCGUGCGCGGACUCACCUCAAAUCCAUUGGCGGCCCUCGUGCCGGCCCCGAGCGCAGCAGAAACGCGGUCUCGUGGCCCGGCGGAGCGUGCCCCCAGAAGCAACAUUCACCGUUUUGACCUCGGAUCAGGUAGGGAUACCCGCUGAACUUAA
RNAcentral lists this unclassified non-coding RNA (304 nucleotides) under plant metagenome. RNAcentral's name for it is "partial contains 5.8S ribosomal RNA, internal transcribed spacer 2, and large subunit ribosomal RNA". The stretch from base 1 to 107 matches the Rfam family "5.8S ribosomal RNA", at positions 48 to 154 of the family's 154-position model. The record is from RNAcentral.